AGGAUCAUUACACAAAUAUGAAGGCGGGCUGGAAUCUCUCGGGGUUACAGCCUUGCUGAAUUAUUCACCCUUGUCUUUUGCGUACUUCUUGUUUCCUUGGUGGGUUCGCCCACCACUAGGACAAACAUAAACCUUUUGUAAUUGCAAUCAGCGUCAGUAACAAAUUAAUAAUUACAACUUUCAACAACGGAUCUCUUGGUUCUGGCAUCGAUGAAGAACGCAGCGAAAUGCGAUAAGUAGUGUGAAUUGCAGAAUUCAGUGAAUCAUCGAAUCUUUGAACGCACAUUGCGCCCUUUGGUAUUCCAAAGGGCAUGCCUGUUCGAGCGUCAUUUGUACCCUCAAGCUUUGCUUGGUGUUGGGCGUCUUGUCUCUAGCUUUGCUGGAGACUCGCCUUAAAGUAAUUGGCAGCCGGCCUACUGGUUUCGGAGCGCAGCACAAGUCGCACUCUCUAUCAGCAAAGGUCUAGCAUCCAUUAAGCCUUUUUUUCAACUUUUGACCUCGGAUCAGGUAGGGAUACCCGCUGAACUUAAGCAUAUCAAUAAGCGGAGGA
RNAcentral lists this ribosomal RNA (550 nucleotides) under Alternaria tenuissima. Its description in RNAcentral is "eukaryotic LSU rRNA". The stretch from base 176 to 329 matches the Rfam family "5.8S ribosomal RNA". Lineage: Eukaryota; Fungi; Ascomycota; Dothideomycetes; Pleosporales; Pleosporaceae. The record is from RNAcentral.